GUACGCGUGCAGCGUAUGUUUACACAGUUCUGAACGCACGCAAUCCUCUUUGCCAAACUGAAUGAUGCCAACCAUCUCGUCUUCUUCGAAGCGGGACAUUGCAUCGCUGAGACCCGAUACUACGCCGCGUGGUAAAUCACACUGGGUAAUAUCACCGUUAACGAUCACCGUCACGUUUUCACCGAGACGGGU
RNAcentral lists this antisense RNA (192 nucleotides) under Rahnella variigena. RNAcentral describes it as "Yersinia sRNA 251". It matches the Rfam family "Yersinia sRNA 251". Rfam says of the family: Antisense to phoH gene. Trimmed on 5'end from the original size. The record is from RNAcentral. Lineage: Bacteria; Pseudomonadati; Pseudomonadota; Gammaproteobacteria; Enterobacterales; Yersiniaceae.